Molecule: ribosomal RNA, 500 nt
Filed under: uncultured bacterium
Lineage: Bacteria
Description: partial 16S ribosomal RNA
Rfam family: Bacterial small subunit ribosomal RNA
Source: RNAcentral
GUUGAACGCUGGCGGCAUGCCUUACACAUGCAAGUCAAACGGCAGCACGGGAGCAAUCCUGGUGGCGAGUGGCGAACGGGUGAGUAAAGUAUCGGAACGUGCCCAGUCGUGGGGGAUAACGUAGCGAAAGUUACGCUAAUACCGCAUACGAUCUACGGAUGAAAGCGGGGGAUCGCAGGACAUCGCGCGAUUGGAGCGGCUGAGAUCAGAUUAGGUAGUUAGUGGGGGAAAGGCUCACCAAGCCGACGACCUGUAGCUGGUCUGAGAGGACGACCAGCCACACUGGGACUGAGACACGGCCCAGACUCCUACGGGAGGCAGCAGUGGGGAAUUUUGGACAAUGGGCGCAAGCCUGAUCCAGCCAUGCCGCGUGCAGGAUGAAGGCCUUCGGGUUGUAAACUGCUUUUGUACGGAACGAAAAGGUUUGGCCUAAUAAGCUGGACCCAUGACGGUACCGUAAGAAUAAGCACCGGCUAACUACGUGCCAGCCGCCGCGGUAA